This is a long non-coding RNA of Siniperca chuatsi (mandarin fish), 1340 nucleotides long. RefSeq lists it as uncharacterized. Lineage: Eukaryota; Metazoa; Chordata; Actinopteri; Centrarchiformes; Sinipercidae. The record is from RefSeq and is a predicted model, not a curated record. The transcript is spliced from 2 exons.
UAUGUAAGCAACAUUGUGAGUGAUGUCUCAUUGUUAUCUCUCUGAUUGAGUCAUUCCUGCCUUUUGAAUGUUGCUGCUAAUGAGUGGGUGAAAGAACUGCAGGUGCACCCCCCCCCGGCCACAGUCAACUGCUGCGCUAAAGUUUGCUGUUGCAAAAAUAUAAACUGUCAAUAAUCAUUAUUGUCUUUUAAUCCAGAUACAUUGUUAUGUCAAUUACUGUACUGCUAAUUCACAUCAGUCACUGGUCUCACGAUCACACAGCCAACACCAGGAGGCUCAAUCACAAAGUAACAGCUAAAUUACCAAUUGUGCUGUGGCACGGCUCCAUAAUGAAGGAAGCCUGUCAUGUGUGAGUGUCAUCAGUAUGCUUCACAUAAUCCCGCCCCCACUGCUUCCUCUACAUCAGAGGUCACUGCAGCAUGUUACCUCACAGCUCUUGACUAGUUGCUACCCCUUGUUGCUAAGCUGAGAGAGCUGCUAAGCUUGUUCCUCUCUGGUGUUUUGGAUCCUGCGCUGAGUACCGGUGACAGUGCACAACCGCACACAACUGAGUGCUGCCAUUUUGAUGCUUUCACCACUGUCACAUUGCCUCCUCAGUCAACAAGGGUGUAUUAUUCAGCUGUCAUUUUGGAGAAAAGCUUUAUUUAUUAGAAUUCAUCUUAAUUUUUUUGGUUUGUUUGUGUAUGCUGUGUGACGCUGUGAACAUGCUGAUGGUGUUGCUUAUUUUGACAUGACAAGAUGAGACAUUUCACUAUACAAACAGCCACUAACAGGUGGCUAGGCCUAUCACACUCAGCCGUGGUGGCUGCUGCUUUCCAUACCACUGGCAAGAUGGCAACAAACCAUAAACCCAACUUCAGCCAUUAAAACAUCCAUCCAGAAAGCUAUAGGUGAUUUCACGCACACCAUGUCCAUAUUGCUCUGAAGUUCAUGCUACAUAAGACCAUUUACAACUGUAAUCUACACAAGUAAAGGCACUAAAUGACGUGAGGAAGAAUUUGGAUUUGGCUUUGGAUUUGGUAUUGGAAAAGGUUGUGUUACAUUGUGAAGAAAUAUUAACAAAAAUGCACAGACACACAGAGGGAAACAAAGAGUAAUAAAUCCAUAAAAGCAAUUUCAAGGCAGAGAUGUACUCAACAAUGUAAUAAGAUGUAUGAUAUUAAGCUGGGAUUGCUUGUAUUGUUUAUAUCCGUAACAGGGUGAGGCCAUGCUCUAUCUUUAUCUCUCUCUCCGUCUCUGAGAUUGAGAUGUGUGCUUCUGUUUUUCCAAACUCAGUGGGUAGAUGGAGUCGAUUUUCACUAAUAGAAAAUAAUGACUGAUAAUAAACAGAGGAAAUAUGU